GAUGAACGCUGGCGGCGUGCCUAAUACAUGCAAGUCGAGCGAACAGAUGAGGAGCUUGCUCCUCUGACGUUAGCGGCGGACGGGUGAGUAACACGUGGAUAACCUACCUAUAAGACUGGGAUAACUUCGGGAAACCGGAGCUAAUACCGGAUAAUAUAUUGAACCGCAUGGUUCAAUAGUGAAAGACGGUUUUGCUGUCACUUAUAGAUGGAUCCGCGCCGCAUUAGCUAGUUGGUAAGGUAACGGCUUACCAAGGCAACGAUGCGUAGCCGACCUGAGAGGGUGAUGGGCCACACUGGAACUGAGACACGGUCCAGACUCCUACGGGAGGCAGCAGUAGGGAAUCUUCCGCAAUGGGAGAAAGCCUGACGGAGAAACGCCGCGUGAGUGAUGAAGGUCUUCGGAUCGUAAAACUCUGUUAUUAGGGAAGAACAAAUGUGUAAGUAACUAUGCACGUCUUGACGGUACCUAAUCAGAAAGCCACGGCUAACUACGUG
RNAcentral lists this ribosomal RNA (497 nucleotides) under uncultured bacterium. RNAcentral's name for it is "partial 16S ribosomal RNA". It matches the Rfam family "Bacterial small subunit ribosomal RNA", at positions 28 to 507 of the family's 1533-position model. The record is from RNAcentral.